This 468-nucleotide ribosomal RNA is filed under the name uncultured bacterium. RNAcentral's name for it is "partial 16S ribosomal RNA". It matches the Rfam family "Bacterial small subunit ribosomal RNA", at positions 28 to 507 of the family's 1533-position model. The record is from RNAcentral.
GAUGAACGCUGCCAGAAUGCUUAACACAUGCAAGUCUACUUGAAUUUGGGUUUUUUAACUUAGAUUUGGGUGGCGGACGGGUGAGUAACGCGUAAAGAACUUGCCUCACAGUUAGGGACAACAUUUGGAAACGAAUGCUAAUACCUGAUAUUAUGAAUAUAUGGCAUCAUAUAAUUAUGAAAGCUAUAAGCGCUGUGAGAGAGCUUUGCGUCCCAUUAGCUAGUUGGAGAGGUAACGGCUCACCAAGGCGAUGAUGGGUAGCCGGCCUGAGAGGGUGAACGGCCACAAGGGGACUGAGACACGGCCCGUACUCCUACGGGAGGCAGCAGUGGGGAAUAUUGGACAAUGGACCAAGAGUCUGAUCCAGCAAUUCUGUGUGCACGAUGACGUUUUUCGGAAUGUAAAGUGCUUUCAGUUGGGAAGAAAAAAAUGACGGUACCAACAGAAGAAGUGACGGCUAAAUACGUG